Long non-coding RNA from Hyla sarda, 330 nucleotides. RefSeq lists it as uncharacterized. The transcript has 3 exons. NCBI's taxonomy places the organism in Eukaryota, Metazoa, Chordata, Amphibia, Anura, Hylidae. The record is from RefSeq and is a predicted model, not a curated record.
CUACAGUACAGGGAGGAAUUACAAGUUCUGUACUACUCCUUACCUGUGCCAGGGUUAGCUGCUCAAUUUGACACCAAGGCUGUAAGAGGGCUUAUUUAUUGCACCGUCAUCUUUUUAUCAGGACCUGUAUUUCUUUCCUUCAGAUGCCAUGAUAGGCAUUGAGCACGGUGUCUAAAGGGUUAAUGAGGCACAGCAGUGGGAUCACCAGUGCUCGUCAUUAGCGGUCACCAGUUUAGCGUGUAGACAGGCUCCAUGACAGUAGUAUUGGGAGAGCUAAGAUGGCGGAGAGUUGUCUGUAUUCCUUGAGUAGACUCUGUAGAAAACAAGGUG